UGGCGGCAGGCUUAACACAUGCAAGUCGAGCGGUAGCAGAUCUAGCUUGCUAGAUGCUGACGAGCGGCGGACGGGUGAGUAACGCGUAGGAACCUGCCCAGUAGUGGGGGAUAGCCCGGGGAAACUCGGAUUAAUACCGCAUACGCUCUACGGAGGAAAGAGGGGGCUUCGGCUCUCGCUAUUGGAUGGGCCUGCGUGAGAUUAGCUAGUUGGUGGGGUAAUGGCUCACCAAGGCGACGAUCUCUAGCUGGUCUGAGAGGAUGAUCAGCCACACUGGGACUGAGACACGGCCCAGACUCCUACGGGAGGCAGCAGUGGGGAAUAUUGCACAAUGGGCGCAAGCCUGAUGCAGCCAUGCCGCGUGUGUGAAGAAGGCUUUCGGGUUGUAAAGCACUUUCAGUGGGGAGGAAGGCCUCGUAGUUAAUAGCUGCGAGGAUUGACGUUACCCACAGAAGAAGCACCGGCUAACUCCGUG
Molecule: ribosomal RNA, 475 nt
Filed under: uncultured bacterium
Lineage: Bacteria
Description: bacterial SSU rRNA
Rfam family: Bacterial small subunit ribosomal RNA
Source: RNAcentral